AUGGAACAUUUCAUCCUACCAGAUCAUUUCACUAAAGCAGAUGUGGACAAAGUCAAGGCCGCUGCUCUUAAGAAGAUGGCAAUUGCAUUCAACACCCACAAGAAAACUGUAUGGGCCAACUACAUCGCUAAUGAAAGGAAGACUCCAGAUUUCAAGGGAACACUGGAGAAGCAAAGAGAACAUUGGGACGAUUUCGUGACCUUCAAGGAUUCAGAAAUAUCUAAGGAACGGUCGACGAAAAACAAGGCAAAUGCCGCAAGAAAGACGCAGUUCCAUAGGCUGGGUCCAAGUGGCUACGCGGUGGCAUUGCCUAAGUGGGAUAAGUCUGAGCAAGAGAUGGAGGAUGCAGGGGUCACUCCGGUUACCCGGCACUGGCCCCCCAGGUGCGGAACUUGGUUCUAUGCGCAUGGGGGGGCGUUGGACCCGAAGACAGGCAUGGUUUCGAAGAAGGCAAGUCUAAAAGGAGCCGAACAAAAGAAAAUUGACGCAAUAGAAGAAGCUCGAGCGGGGGUGUUCACGCCCAACAGAGAGAACGACGAGCUUACGCGCGCCCUGGGAAAUCCUGAACACCCGGGAAGAACACGAGGCAAGGGUGUUAUUCCCUGGUAUGAGGGCUUUUCGGACUGA
RNAcentral lists this ribosomal RNA (627 nucleotides) under Triticum aestivum (bread wheat). RNAcentral describes it as "partial small subunit ribosomal RNA". Lineage: Eukaryota; Viridiplantae; Streptophyta; Magnoliopsida; Poales; Poaceae. The record is from RNAcentral.